RNAcentral lists this ribosomal RNA (447 nucleotides) under uncultured bacterium. RNAcentral describes it as "bacterial SSU rRNA". It matches the Rfam family "Bacterial small subunit ribosomal RNA", at positions 28 to 457 of the family's 1533-position model. The record is from RNAcentral.
GAUGAACGCUGGCGGCGUGCUUAACACAUGCAAGUCGAGCGAAGCACUUAAGUUUGAUUCUUCGGAUGAAGACUUUUGUGACUGAGCGGCGGACGGGUGAGUAACGCGUGGGUAACCUGCCUCAUACAGGGGGAUAACAGUUAGAAAUGACUGCUAAUACCGCAUAAGACCACGGUACCGCAUGGUACAGUGGUAAAAACUCCGGUGGUAUGAGAUGGACCCGCGUCUGAUUAGGUAGUUGGUGGGGUAACGGCCUACCAAGCCGACGAUCAGUAGCCGACCUGAGAGGGUGACCGGCCACAUUGGGACUGAGACACGGCCCAGACUCCUACGGGAGGCAGCAGUGGGGAAUAUUGCACAAUGGAGGAAACUCUGAUGCAGCGACGCCGCGUGAAGGAUGAAGUAUUUCGGUAUGUAAACUUCUAUCAGCAGGGAAGAAAAUGACGG